This 1393-nucleotide ribosomal RNA is filed under the name Streptococcus pneumoniae. RNAcentral's name for it is "partial 23S ribosomal RNA". It matches the Rfam family "Bacterial large subunit ribosomal RNA", at positions 556 to 1947 of the family's 2925-position model. Lineage: Bacteria; Bacillati; Bacillota; Bacilli; Lactobacillales; Streptococcaceae. The record is from RNAcentral.
CCGUGUGCCUACAAGUAGUUAGAGCCCGUUAAUGGGUGAUAGCGUGCCUUUUGUAGAAUGAACCGGCGAGUUACGAUUGCAUGCAAGGUUAAGGUGAGAAGCCGGAGCCGCAGCGAAAGCGAGUCUGAAUAGGGCGAGUGAGUAUGUAGUUGUAGACCCGAAACCAGGUGAUCUACCCAUGUCCAGGGUGAAGGUAAGGUAACACUUACUGGAGGCCCGAACCCACGCACGUUGAAAAGUGCGGGGAUGAGGUGUGGGUAGCGGAGAAAUUCCAAUCGAACCUGGAGAUAGCUGGUUCUCUCCGAAAUAGCUUUAGGGCUAGCCUCAAGAUAGAGAAUCCUGGAGGUAGAGCACUGUUUGGACUAGGGGCCCAUCCCGGGUUACCGAAUUCAGACAAACUCCGAAUGCCAGUGAUUUAUGCUUGGGAGUCAGACUGCGAGUGAUAAGAUCCGUAGUCAAGAGGGAAACAGCCCAGACCACCAGCUAAGGUCCCCAAAUAUCCGUUAAGUGGAAAAGGAUGUGGCGUUGCUUAGACAACCAGGAUGUUGGCUUAGAAGCAGCCAUCAUUUAAAGAGUGCGUAAUAGCUCACUGGUCGAGUGACACUGCGCCGAAAAUGUACCGGGGCUAAACGGAUUACCGAAGCUGUGGAUGGACAUCGUAGAUGUCCGUGGUAGGAGAGCGUUCUAAGGGCGUUGAAGUCAGACCGGAAGGACUGGUGGAGCGCUUAGAAGUGAGAAUGCCGGUAUGAGUAACGAAAGACGGGUGAGAAUCCCGUCCACCGAAUGCCUAAGGUUUCCUGAGGAAGGCUCGUCCGCUCAGGGUUAGUCGGGACCUAAGUCGAGGCCGAUAGGCGUAGACGAUGGACAACAGGUUGAUAUUCCUGUACCACCUCCCCGCCGUUUGAGCAAUGGGGGGACGCAGAAGGAUAGGGUGAGCGUGCCGUUGGUUGUGCACGUCCAAGUUGUGAGAUGAGAAACGAGGCAAAUCCCGUUUCUAGAUACAUCAAGCAGUGAUGGCAAGAGGUUUACCUCAGAGUCCCUGAUUUCACACUGCCAAGAAAAGCCUCUAGCGAGGCGGGAGGUGCCCGUACCGCAAACCGACACAGGUAGGCGAGAAGAGAAUUCUAAGGUGAGCGAGUGAACUCUCGUUAAGGAACUCGGCAAAAUGACCCCGUAACUUCGGGAGAAGGGGUGCUCUGGUAGGGUGAAUAGCCCGAGAGAGCCGCAGUGAAUAGGCCCAGGCGACUGUUUAGCAAAAACACAGGUCUCUGCAAAACCGUAAGGUGACGUAUAGGGGCUGACGCCUGCCCGGUGCUGGAAGGUUAAGGGGAGUGCUUAGCGCAAGCGAAGGUGCGAACCGAAGCCCCAGUAAACGGCGGCCGUAACUAUAACG